UACGGAGGGUGCAAGCGUUGUUCGGAAUUAUUGGGCGUAAAGCGCGUGUAGGCGGUCUUUUAAGUCUGAUGUGAAAGCCCCGGGCUCAACCUGGGAAGUGCAUUGGAAACUGGGAGACUUGAGUACGGGAGAGGGUAGUGGAAUUCCUAGUGUAGGAGUGAAAUCCGUAGAUAUUAGGAGGAACACCGGUGGCGAAGGCGGCUGCCUGGACCGAUACUGACGCUGAGACGCGAAAGCGUGGGGAGCAAACAGG
Molecule: ribosomal RNA, 253 nt
Filed under: uncultured Geobacter sp.
Lineage: Bacteria; Pseudomonadati; Thermodesulfobacteriota; Desulfuromonadia; Geobacterales; Geobacteraceae
Description: partial 16S ribosomal RNA
Rfam family: Bacterial small subunit ribosomal RNA
Source: RNAcentral